RNAcentral lists this ribosomal RNA (253 nucleotides) under uncultured bacterium. Its description in RNAcentral is "partial 16S ribosomal RNA". It matches the Rfam family "Bacterial small subunit ribosomal RNA", at positions 524 to 776 of the family's 1533-position model. The record is from RNAcentral.
UACGGAGGGUGCAAGCGUUAUCCGGAUUCACUGGGUUUAAAGGGUGCGUAGGUGGGCAGGAAAGUCAGUGGUGAAAUCUCCGGGCUUAACCCGGAAACUGCCGUUGAUACUAUUUGUCUUGAAUAUUGUGGAGGUAAGCGGAAUAUGUCAUGUAGCGGUGAAAUGCUUAGAUAUGACAUAGAACACCAAUUGCGAAGGCAGCUUACUACACAAUGAUUGACGCUGAGGCACGAAAGCGUGGGGAUCAAACAGG